GAUGAACGCUGGCGGCGUGCCUAAUACAUGCAAGUCGAGCGAACAGACGAGGAGCUUGCUCCUCUGACGUUAGCGGCGGACGGGUGAGGAACACGUGGAUAACCUACCUAUAAGACUGGGAUAACUUCGGGAAACCGGAUCUAAUACCGGAUAAUAUAUUGAACCGCAUGGUUCAAUAGUUAGAGUCGGUUUUGCUGUGACUAAUAGAUGGAUCCGCGCCUCAUUAGCUAGUUGGUAAGGGAACGGCUUACCAAGGCAACGAUGCGUAGCCGACCUGAGAGGGUGGUCCGACACACUGGCACUGAGACUCGGUCCAGACUCCUACGGGAGGCCGCAGUCGGGAAUCCUACGCAAUGGGCGAAAGCCUAACGGAGCAACGUCGCGUGAGUCAUGAAGGUCUUCGGAUGGUAAAACUCUGUUAUUCGGAAAGAACAAAUGUGUAAGUACCUAUGCACGUAUUGACGGUACCUAAUCAGAAAGCCACGGCUAACUACGUG
This 497-nucleotide ribosomal RNA is filed under the name uncultured bacterium. RNAcentral describes it as "partial 16S ribosomal RNA". It matches the Rfam family "Bacterial small subunit ribosomal RNA", at positions 28 to 507 of the family's 1533-position model. The record is from RNAcentral.